GACCCAACUGCUAUCGGAAUGAGACUAAGCCAUGCAAGUUGUACGUUUUUAACUAUGAAAAAACGUAUCAUACGGCUCACUAAUACAUAGUUAAUCUGCCCUCUGGACGACUAUAACGUCAGAAAACUGACGGUAAUAGUUGAUAUAGAAUGGAAUCUGGAAUGAUCUAUUUCAUAAAGGGUUAAAAAUCAUGUUUUUUAACUGCCAGAGGAUGGGACUAUGGCCGAUCAGGUUGAUGGUGAGGUAAUGGCUCACCAUGCCUAUAACCGGUACGGGCCCUGAGAGGGGUAGCCCGGAGAUGGAUUCUGAGACAAGAAUCCAGGCCCUACGGGGCGCAGCAGGCGCGAAACCUCCACAAUGCGCGAAAGCGUGAUGGGGUUAUUCCGAGUGUUCGCCGCUGAGGCGAACUUUUACUUAGUUCAAAAGGCUUUGAGAAUAAGGGGAGGGCAAGAUUGGUGUCAGCCGCCGCGGUAAUACCAACUCCCCGAGUGGUUGGGAUGUUUACUGGGCUUGAAGCGUCCGUAGCCUGUCUCAUAAGUUCUCUGUUAAUCCGAUGUCUCAGCAUUGGGCGGCAGAGAAUACUGUGAGACUUGGGAAUGGAAGAAGCCGGCGGUACUUUUUGGGAAGGAGUAAAAUCCUCAGAUCCAAAAAGGACCAUCAGUGGCGAAGGCGGCCGGCUAGGACAUGUCCGACGGUGAGGGACGAAAGCUGAGGUAGCGAUCCGGAUUAGAUACCCGGGUAGUCUCAGCUGUAAACGAUGCAAGACUAGUGUGUGAGCAAACAUGUGUUGCUCAUGUGCCGUAGAGAAAUUGUUAAGUCUGCCGCCUGGGAAGUACGUUCCGCAGGAUGAAACUUAAAGGAAUUGGUCGGGGAGCACCUACAGGGUUUGAUCUUGCGGUUUAAUUUGAUUUCACGC
Molecule: ribosomal RNA, 916 nt
Filed under: uncultured marine archaeon
Lineage: Archaea
Description: bacterial SSU rRNA
Rfam family: Archaeal small subunit ribosomal RNA
Source: RNAcentral